This 390-nucleotide long non-coding RNA is filed under the name Nicotiana benthamiana. RNAcentral describes it as "long non-coding RNA (NBEN_LNC017001)". The record is from RNAcentral. Lineage: Eukaryota; Viridiplantae; Streptophyta; Magnoliopsida; Solanales; Solanaceae.
UCAUCCACCGGGGCCACCCCCACCUUUUCUCAAAUAACUUCAUUCUUAAUCUUAUCUAGCCUGGUGUUACCGCACAUCCACCUAAGCAUCCUCAUUUCCGCAACCUUCAUUCUCUGAACAUGAGAGUUCUUCACGUGCCAGCACUCCGCCCCAUACAACAUCGCAGGUCUAACCACGGCUCUAUAGACUUUCCCCUUGAGUUUGUGUGGAACUUUCUUGUCACACAGGACUCCUGAUGCAAGCCUCCACUUUGACCACCCCGCUCCUGUGCGAUGAGUGACUUCCCCGUCAAUCUCUCCGUUCCCCUGAAUCACAGACCCAAGAUAUCGGACGCUGUCCCACUUGGCGAUGGCCUGAGAACCAAUCAUCACGUCCCUGCCUACUUCGCUC